GUGACGGAAGCGGCAGGGGAGGCAGCCCCUCUAACCUGUCCCUGAGCCGGAGGAGGGGGACUUUUCCUCGAGAGGGACGGGAGGGGGCGCUAAUCCCAGUACUAACACCCUAUGGCCCGGCUCCCUCUCGGUUCCCAGCGAUUCGGACGGGUCUUGGCGGCCCCUGGGACCUUCCCCUUGUGGCCGCUCUUUUCCCACCCGCGCGUCGCCCUAUCGACUUUGCAAGCCGGGGUCCUUCCCCCAACCUCCUCUUCGGUACCGCAGCCUUUGCCCCAAGAGCUGCUUCUCUAAGGUGUUCUCUAAGGAGCCCUAGCGCCCUAACCCCAACAGCUGUGACCUUGCACUGAGAGCAGGCCCCAACCCCCGCCAGAUCCGCAGGAACCAGUUAGAAGAGACAAGGCACAGCCGGUGCGGGAGCGGCGCCUGCGCAGUAGGGCGGCAGGGCGAGGGGUCGCGGGAGUCCUCCAGGCUCAAUGAGCGCAGUAGAGGCUUUUGUCUGGGAAGUGAGACGUGGUUCGUGAAAGGCUGCACCUUGUCGGAAGAGUGGGAAGGCUACCUUUCCAGGAAGACAUGGAGAGCAGCGUUGUACCUUUCCGUCUUCUCAAGAUUAAGCCGCAGCUUUCAACUAUGUUUUUCAUUCAACAAUCACUUUCAAUCAAAUACAUCACAACUUUGUUCUUUCAGAAACGGUUUGAAACUAACGGGCAGAGGGAGUUUGACAGAGAGGAGAACAAAUCGCUGACAAAGAACCUUUUACGUUUCAUCAGCGUUGUUAGGACGACAAGCAGGAAUGUCUCAGAUAAUAACUCCCACUUCAAAGAUUUCUCAGCUCAAUAGAAAGCGGACCAUCCUUUUUAUUCAACCACAAGGACUGGCACUAAAGAAGACUCUACUGUUUGAUUUUUUUUUUCCACCGUGUUUAUUUUUCCCCUAUUCACUGGGGUACUUGGAUAAAAUAAACAACAAGACAAUU
Molecule: long non-coding RNA, 973 nt
Organism: Suricata suricatta (meerkat)
Lineage: Eukaryota; Metazoa; Chordata; Mammalia; Carnivora; Herpestidae
Exons: 4
Source: RefSeq, a predicted model, not a curated record